This 494-nucleotide long non-coding RNA is filed under the name Phaseolus vulgaris (common bean). RNAcentral describes it as "long non-coding RNA (PVUL_LNC004518)". Lineage: Eukaryota; Viridiplantae; Streptophyta; Magnoliopsida; Fabales; Fabaceae. The record is from RNAcentral.
CUGAUACCGAACGAGGCAUAAAUAAUUCUGAUUACAUUAAAGUAAUAAGAUAAUUCUGAUGCCGAACGAGGCAUAAAUAAUUCUGAUUACAUUAAAGUAAUAAGAUAAUUCUGAUGCCGAACGAGACAUAAAUAAUUCUGAUUACAUUAAAGUAAUAAGAUAAUUCUGAUGCCGAACGAGGCAUACAUAAUUGAUUACAUUAAAGUAAUAAGAUAAUUCUGAUGCCGAACGAGACAUAACUAAUUCUGAUUACAUUAAAGUAAUAAGAUAAUUCUGAUGCCGAACGAGGCAUAAAUAAUUCUGAUUAAAGUAAUAAGAUAAUUCUGAUGCCGAACGAGACAUAAAUAAUUCCGAUUACAUUAAAGUAAUAAGAUAAUUCUGAUGCCGAACGAGACAUAAAUAAUUCUGAUUACAUUAAAGUAAUAAGAUAAUUCUGAUGCCGAACGAGGCAUAAAUAAUUCUGAUUACAUUAAAGUAAUAAGAUAAUUCUGAUG